Non-coding RNA from Phialemonium atrogriseum, 88 nucleotides. Lineage: Eukaryota; Fungi; Ascomycota; Sordariomycetes; Cephalothecales; Cephalothecaceae. The record is from the annotation of a RefSeq genome assembly.
GACAACAUGGCCGAGUGGUUAAGGCGACAGACUCGAAUUAGCAAAUCUGUUGGAUUCGUCCGCGGAGGUUCGAAUCCUCCUGUUGUCG